RNAcentral lists this ribosomal RNA (460 nucleotides) under uncultured bacterium. RNAcentral's name for it is "partial 16S ribosomal RNA". It matches the Rfam family "Bacterial small subunit ribosomal RNA", at positions 338 to 795 of the family's 1533-position model. The record is from RNAcentral.
CCUACGGGUGGCAGCAGUGAGGAAUAUUGGUCAAUGGACGAGAGUCUGAACCAGCCAAGUAGCGUGAAGGAUGACUGCCCUAUGGGUUGUAAACUUCUUUUAUAUGGGAAUAAAAUGUUCCACGUGUGUGAUUUUGUAUGUACCAUAUGAAUAAGGAUCGGCUAACUCCGUGCCAGCAGCCGCGGUAAUACGGAGGAUCCGAGCGUUAUCCGGAUUUAUUGGGUUUAAAGGGAGCGUAGGUGGAUUGUUAAGUCAGUUGUGAAAGUUUGCGGCUCAACCGUGAAAUUGCAGUUGAAACUGGCAGUCUUGAGUACAGUAGAGGUGGGCGGAAUUCGUGGUGUAGCGGUGAAAUGCUUAGAGAUCACGAAGAACUCCGAUUGCGAAGGCAGUUCACUGGACUGCAACUGACACUGAGGCUCGAAAGUGUGGGUAUCAAACAGGAUUAGAUACCCUAGUAGUC